Molecule: long non-coding RNA, 335 nt
Organism: Hibiscus syriacus
Lineage: Eukaryota; Viridiplantae; Streptophyta; Magnoliopsida; Malvales; Malvaceae
Exons: 5
Source: RefSeq, a predicted model, not a curated record
GAAGCCUUUCGUCUUCUAUCUGAAUCGUGCCAAGAGGUACAUCAAUGAGUUCAACGAGGUUGAACUUUGCGGCUUAGGAAUGGCUAUUCCUACUGUUGUCACCAUAGCUGAGAUUCUGAAGCGAAAUGGAUUCGCAAUCCAGAAAGGAAUAACGACAUCGACUGUGCUCAGCACCCAUGAGGAUAGAAAGGGUCGUCAGAUCGAGAAAGCUAAAAUUGAGAUAGUGCUGGGAAAAGCUGAGAAAUUUGAGGCCAUCAAUGGAGUUGUAACCCCAAUGGAAGCUGAUGAUUACAAAGCAUAAGAAAUUAAAGGAAGCGAUAGCAUUGGAAAUUCAC